This is a long non-coding RNA of Sarcophilus harrisii (Tasmanian devil), 338 nucleotides long. RefSeq lists it as uncharacterized. The transcript is spliced from 2 exons. Lineage: Eukaryota; Metazoa; Chordata; Mammalia; Dasyuromorphia; Dasyuridae. The record is from RefSeq and is a predicted model, not a curated record.
AGGUAGACUGCAGAAGAUCCGGACAAUUUUUCAUCCAAGAGUGAGCUAUAAGAAGUCACAAGAAAGGCCUCUCAGAAACAGAUGUAAGCAGUGAUAGCCGUUGACAUGCACUAGAGACACUAUGAACCUGAGGAAGGGCAAUGUUUGUAGCCAACAGAAUUUUUUCUGCAAAGCCAACUGGUCCAUUCCAAGACUACAUACGCUUGUGCUGCUAACCUGACACUCUUCUAAUCAAGACUAAGUUGUAAAAAUUCUAGAAGCCAGAAAAUAGUAAAAAUGAGUGCUAAGAGGAAAAAAAUGAUAAUAAAGAGUACAGGUAACUGUAGCACUAAAAAGAA